Molecule: ribosomal RNA, 470 nt
Filed under: uncultured bacterium
Lineage: Bacteria
Description: bacterial SSU rRNA
Rfam family: Bacterial small subunit ribosomal RNA
Source: RNAcentral
CCUCCAGACUCCUACGGGAGGCAGCAGUGAGGAAUAUUGGUCAAUGGGCGCGAGCCUGAACCAGCCAAGUCGCGUGAGGGAUGAAGGAUCUAUGGUUCGUAAACCUCUUUUAUAAGGGAAUAAAGUGCAGGACGCGUCCCGCUUCGCAUGUACCUUAUGAAUAAGGAUCGGCUAACUCCGUGCCAGCAGCCGCGGUAAUACGGAGGAUGCGAGCGUUAUCCGGAAUGACUGGGCGUAAAGGGUGCGUAGGUGGUUUGACAAGUUAGUAGCGCAACUCCGGAGCUUAACUUCGGAACUACUACUAAAACUGUUGGACUUGAGUGCAGGAGGGGCAAUCGGAAUUCCUAGUGUAGCGGUGGAAUGCGUAGAUAUUAGGAGGAACACCAGUGGCGAAGGCGGAGUGCUAGACUGUAACUGACACUGAGGCACGAAAGCGUGGGGAGCAAACAGGAUUAGAUACCCGGGUACAG